RNAcentral lists this ribosomal RNA (469 nucleotides) under Rhizopycnis sp. IBL 03177. RNAcentral describes it as "partial 18S ribosomal RNA". The stretch from base 90 to 413 matches the Rfam family "Group I catalytic intron". Rfam says of the family: Group I catalytic introns are large self-splicing ribozymes. The record is from RNAcentral. Lineage: Eukaryota; Fungi; Ascomycota; Dothideomycetes; Pleosporales; Morosphaeriaceae.
GGUUUCCGUAGCUCAGUACGGGACAGCUUGACCGCCAGGUCAAGGUGAUCCUUCCGCGUAACACUUGCCGAAGCCUUAGCAGCCCGAAAGGGUGCAGUUCCGCGACUCAAAGAAAGGAGGACUGCUGAAAUGCUAGUCUGCAGAAGCAGGCAACACUAUCAAAUUGCGGGAACACCCUAAAGACCUCAACACCAAGCGUCAUGGGAAACCAUGGCGUGGCCGAGCUAAUAGCCCUGGGUAUGGUAACAGCUUGAGGUAUGAAGCCUUCGCAAGGAGGCCGAAAUGGGCAAUCCGCAGCCAAGUCCUAACGUGCUCGAAACCGAGUGCUAUGGAUGCUGUUCACAGGCCAAAUGGUAGUGGGUGACUCUUGCGAGUUGCUUAAGAUAUGGUCGGGCCCCUUCAGAAAUGUGGGGGAUAAGCUUACGCUUCUCCAAACCGUUCCGUAGGUGAACCUGCGGAAGGAUCAUUA